RNAcentral lists this small RNA (101 nucleotides) under unclassified sequences. RNAcentral's name for it is "Fibrobacter-1 RNA". It matches the Rfam family "Fibrobacter-1 RNA". From Rfam's summary of the family: Fibrobacter (Fibrobacteres). The record is from Rfam by way of RNAcentral.
UAUUUAAGGUCCCCAGGUCCUGCGGUGCGGGCGGGCGGUACUUUCCGUCAAGAAACAUCGGGGGCUCGGACGAGGUCCAUACUUUUGGUCCUGUCUUGGGG